RNAcentral lists this ribosomal RNA (265 nucleotides) under uncultured archaeon. RNAcentral describes it as "partial 16S ribosomal RNA". It matches the Rfam family "Archaeal small subunit ribosomal RNA", at positions 717 to 982 of the family's 1478-position model. The record is from RNAcentral.
ACACGUCUACAUUAGAUACCCCGGUAGUCCCAGCCGUAAACUAUGCGCGUUAGGUGUAUCGGUGACCACGAGUUACCGAGGUGCCGAAGGGAAACCGUGAAACGUGCCGCCUGGGAAGUACGGUCGCAAGGCUGAAACUUAAAGGAAUUGGCGAGGGAGCACCACAACGGGUGGAGCCUGCGGUUUAAUUGGACUCAACGCCGGGAAGCUCACCGGAUAGGACAGCAGAAUGAUUGCCGGGCUGAAGACCCUGCAUGACUAGCUG